Molecule: ribosomal RNA, 464 nt
Rfam family: Bacterial large subunit ribosomal RNA
AUAGAUUAAGUUAUUAAGGGCGCACGGUGGAUGCCUUGGCACUAGAAGCCGACGAAGGACGUUACUAACGACGAUAUGCUUUGGGUAGCUGUAAGUAAGCGUUGAUCCAGAGAUUUCCGAAUGGGGGAACCCAGCACGAGUUAUGUCGUGUUAUCGACAAGUGAAUUCAUAGCUUGUCAGAAGGCAGACCCGGAGAACUGAAACAUCUUAGUACCCGGAGGAAGAGAAAGAAAAAUCGAUUCCCUGAGUAGCGGCGAGCGAAACGGGAAGAGCCCAAACCAAUAAGCUUGCUUAUUGGGGUUGUAGGACACUCUAUACGGAGUUACAAAGGAAUAUAUUAGACGAAUCAUCUGGAAAGUUGAAUCAAAGAAGGUAAUAAUCCUGUAGUUGAAAAUAUAUUCUCUCUUGAGUGGAUCCUGAGUACGACGGAGCACGUGAAAUUCCGUCGGAAUCUGGGAGGACCA